ACGCGUGAAGUAGACCGCCUGGGAUACGGUCGCAAGAUUAAACUCAAAGAAUUGACGGGACCGCACAAGCGGUGAUGAUGUGGAUAAUUCGAUCAACGCGAAAACCUUACCUACCCUUGACAUGUACAGAAUGCCGAAGAGAUUUGGCGGUGCUCGCAAGAGAACUGUAACACAGGUGCUGCAUGGCUGUCGUCAGCUCGUGUCGUGAGAUGUUGGGUUAAGUCCCGCAACGAGCGCAACCCUUGUCAUUAGUUGCUACAUUAAGUUGAGCACUCUAAUGAGACUGCCGGUGACAAACCGGAGGAAGGUGGGGAUGACGUCAAGUCCUCAUGGCCCUUAUGGGUAGGGCUUCACACGUCAUACAAUGGUACAUACAGAGGGCCGCCAACCCGCGAGGGGGAGCUAAUCCCAGAAAGUGUAUCGUAGUCCGGAUUGUAGUCUGCAACUCGACUACAUGAAGUUGGAAUCGCUAGUAAUCGCGGAUCAGCAUGUCGCGGUGAAUACGUUCCCGGGUCUUGUACACACCGCCCGUCACACCAUGGGAGCGGGUUUCACCAGAAGUAGGUAGCUUAACCGCAAGGAGGGCGCUUACCACGGUGGGAUUCGUGACUGGGGUGAAGUCGUAACAAGGUAGCCGUA
Molecule: ribosomal RNA, 639 nt
Filed under: uncultured bacterium
Lineage: Bacteria
Description: bacterial SSU rRNA
Rfam family: Bacterial small subunit ribosomal RNA
Source: RNAcentral